GAUGAACGCUGGCGGUAUGCCUAACACAUGCAAGUCGUACGAGAGUUUUUAACUCUAGUGGCGGACGGGUGAGUAACACGUGAGAAUUUGCCUUUAGGAGGGGGAUAACAAUUGGAAACGAAUGCUAAUACCCCAUAUGCUUUUGAGUGAAAUGGAUUUUAUCCGCCUAGAGAGAAGCUCGCGGCUGAUUAGCUUGUUGGUAAGAUAAGAGCUUACCAAGGCGACGAUCAGUAUCUGGUUUGAGAGGACGAUCAGACACACUGGAACUGAGACACGGUCCAGACUCCUACGGGAGGCAGCAGUGGGGAAUUUUCCGCAAUGGGCGAAAGCCUGACGGAGCAAUACCGCGUGAGGGAAGAAUGCCUAUGGGUUGUAAACCUCUUUUUCAGGGAGGAAUCAAAUGACGUGUACCUGAAGAAUAAGCAUCGGCUAACUCCGUG
Molecule: ribosomal RNA, 440 nt
Filed under: uncultured bacterium
Lineage: Bacteria
Description: bacterial SSU rRNA
Rfam family: Bacterial small subunit ribosomal RNA
Source: RNAcentral